Molecule: ribosomal RNA, 275 nt
Filed under: uncultured Chlorobiota bacterium
Lineage: Bacteria; Pseudomonadati; Chlorobiota
Description: uncultured Chlorobi bacterium partial 16S ribosomal RNA
Rfam family: Bacterial small subunit ribosomal RNA
Source: RNAcentral
CCCACGGGUUGAGUAACACGUUAGGUAACCUGCCUUCAGGUCUUACAUAACCCCGAGAAAUCGGGGCUAAUAGAAGAUUAUGCAGCGGCUCGGCAUCGAGACAGUUGUUAAAGCUUCGGCGCCUGAAGAUGGGCCUGCGUCCCAUUAGGUAGUUGGCGGGGUAACGGCCCACCAAGCCUACNAUGGGUAGCUGGUCUGANAGGAUGAUCANCCACACUGGAACUGAGAUACGGUCCANACUCCUACGGGAGGCAGCAGUANGAAAUAUUGCUCAA